This 497-nucleotide ribosomal RNA is filed under the name uncultured bacterium. RNAcentral describes it as "partial 16S ribosomal RNA". It matches the Rfam family "Bacterial small subunit ribosomal RNA", at positions 28 to 507 of the family's 1533-position model. The record is from RNAcentral.
GAUGAACGCUGGCGGCGUGCCUAAUACAUGCAAGUCGAGCGAACGGACGAGAAGCUUGCUUCUCUGAUGUUAGCGGCGGACGGGUGAGUAACACGUGGAUAACCUACCUAUAAGACUGGGAUAACUUCGGGAAACCGGAGCUAAUACCGGAUAAUAUUUUGAACCGCAUGGUUCAAAAGUGAAAGACGGUCUUGCUGUCACUUAUAGAUGGAUCCGCGCUGCAUUAGCUAGUUGGUAAGGUAACGGCUUAACAAGGCAACGAUGCAUAGCCGACCUGAGAGGAGGACCGACCACACUGGGACUGAGACACCGUCCAUACGCCAAAGGGAGGCAGCAGUGGGGAAUAUUGCACAAUGGGCGCAAGCAUGACACAGCAAUGACGAGUGAAGGAAGAAGGCAUUAGGAUGGGAAAAAGCUCUUGUAAGGAAAGAAACGACGGGGGCGAAUACCCGGGCCUAAUGACGGGACCGAAUGAAAAAGCACCGGCUAACAACGUG